UGUGUGUUGUGUGUGUUGUGUGUGUGUGUGUGUGUGUGUGUGUGUGUGUGUGUGUAUGUGUGUUACACACACACACACACACACCCACAACACCACACACACACACACACACACAACACAUUAUGUAUAUUAUAUUAUGUAUAUAUAUUAUAUAUAUAUAUGUAUAUGUAUAUAUACCAACACACACACACCA
This is a small nucleolar RNA of Penaeus monodon (black tiger shrimp), 193 nucleotides long. RefSeq annotates it as small nucleolar RNA SNORA23. The record is from RefSeq and is a predicted model, not a curated record. The transcript has a single exon. NCBI's taxonomy places the organism in Eukaryota, Metazoa, Arthropoda, Malacostraca, Decapoda, Penaeidae.